ACCCUUCCAUUAUAGUGAUUAGUGAAGCUGCCUGCUAUGUUGUAGGGUCUGGGUUCAAAUCCCGGAAAAGGCA
Molecule: non-coding RNA, 73 nt
Organism: Trichonephila inaurata madagascariensis
Lineage: Eukaryota; Metazoa; Arthropoda; Arachnida; Araneae; Nephilidae
Source: the annotation of a GenBank genome assembly